RNAcentral lists this long non-coding RNA (902 nucleotides) under Durio zibethinus. RNAcentral describes it as "long non-coding RNA (DZIB_LNC000385)". The record is from RNAcentral. Lineage: Eukaryota; Viridiplantae; Streptophyta; Magnoliopsida; Malvales; Malvaceae.
AAAAACUUAAAUAAUUUAAAAGAUAGUGUGAUACAUAAACUACCUUGCCGCAUCGUGUGCUUACGGAGACUUGAUAAAGUCAUGAUUUGUGGACAAUUAAGCUCUGUUAGAAGCUUCUUGCAACCAUAAAUCAAAGGUUGAAGAAUAAGGUUAGGGAUGGAUGGAUUUGUAAUCAAAGCAAAUAAAUUUUUAAAAUUAUAUGAAUUAAUCAAAUUAAAUUUAAAAUUUAUAUAUCGGUUUUCUUAGACAUAUAUAAAAAAAAAAUUAGGUUAUCUAACCUAUUUAUUUUAACAAAUUUCUGAUGACAUUUUAAUAUAAAAUUUUGUUGUUUCUUCUGACAUUUUAAUAGAUUCAUUAGUUGCAUUGAAUAUUACGUGACCAGGUAAAUAGUGCAUUCCACUUUUAUCAAAGUAGAACAAUAAUAAUUUAAAACAAGAAAAAAAAUGGGACAACGAAUCAUGGUAACAGCUAAAGUAAUGAAGAGGAGCGCUUUUGAAAGGGUCUGUUGGCAAACUAACAUCAUUACAUUCUUCUUCAGAAUAAAUUAAAGCGAACCUUGAAAAAGAGAAAGAUCAAGGACAAAAAAAAUUACGUUUAUAUAUAAAAAAACUGUUGAUAGUUUCUUUAGGUGUCGUAGAUGGGGGAAAGCUGAAUGAAGAAUAAAAGGUAAGGAAACCUAGAUUUGCAGUUAGAAAGUCAGGCUAGAGAAUGUUGGAGUUGGUUUUUUCUAACGUUUUUCAACGCUUAAAUUAAUGAGGUAUUAGAGUUUAAAAAGAAGAGAGAUGAAGUGUAUUGAAAAAAUUACAAUGAAAAAAAUUUAUUUAGGUUUUACAUAUUUAAAUUUCGAUUUUACUUUAUAUAUGAGAUAGGGAUGAAAAAUUCAUUGGGGAAAUUGAUAAUUA